RNAcentral lists this ribosomal RNA (647 nucleotides) under uncultured bacterium. Its description in RNAcentral is "bacterial SSU rRNA". It matches the Rfam family "Bacterial small subunit ribosomal RNA", at positions 855 to 1502 of the family's 1533-position model. The record is from RNAcentral.
ACGCGUUAAGUGUUCCGCCUGGGGAGUACGCACGCAAGUGUGAAACUCAAAGGAAUUGACGGGGGCCCGCACAAGCGGUGGAGUAUGUGGUUUAAUUCGAUGCAACGCGAAGAACCUUACCAGGGUUUGACAUCCUGCGAACCUCUUAGAAAUUUGAGGGUGCCUUCGGGAAUGCAGUGACAGGUGGUGCAUGGCUGUCGUCAGCUCGUGUCGUGAGAUGUUGGGUUAAGUCCCGCAACGAGCGCAACCCACGUUUUUAGUUGCCAGCAUUUAGUUGGGCACUCUAGAAAGACAGCCGGUGAUAAACCGGAGGAAGGUGUGGAUGACGUCAAGUCAUCAUGCCCCUUACACCCUGGGCUACACACGUACUACAAUGCUACGGACAAAGGGCAGCAAACUCGCGAGAGCUAGCAAAUCCCAUAAACCGUGGCUCAGUUCAGAUCGUAGGCUGCAACUCGCCUACGUGAAGUAGGAAUCGCUAGUAAUCGCAGGUCAGCAUACUGCGGUGAAUACGUUCCCGGGCCUUGUACACACCGCCCGUCACACCAUGGAAGUUGGCCAUGCCCGAAGUCGUUACUCCAACCCUUGUGGAGGAGGACGCCGAAGGUGGGGCUAAUGACUGGGGUGAAGUCGUAACAAGGUAGCCG